GUAGGUGGCAAGCGUUGUCCGGAAUUAUUGGGCGUAGAGCGCGCGCAGGCGGUUCUUUAAGUCUGAUGUGAAAGCCCACGGCUCAACCGUGGAGGGUCAUUGGAAACUGGAGAACUUGAGUACAGAAGAGGAAAGCGGAAUUCCACGUGUAGCGGUGAAAUGCGUAGAGAUGUGGAGGAACACCAGUGGCGAAGGCGGCUUUCUGGUCUGUAACUGACGCUGAGGCGCGAAAGCGUGGGGAGCAAACAGGAUUAGAUACCCUGGUAGUCCACGCCGUAAACGAUGAGUGCUAAGUGUUAGGGGGUUUCCGCCCCCCUUAGUGCUGCAGCUAACGCAUUAAGCACUCCGCCUGGGAGUACGACCGCAAGGUGG
RNAcentral lists this ribosomal RNA (372 nucleotides) under uncultured organism. RNAcentral's name for it is "partial 16S ribosomal RNA". It matches the Rfam family "Bacterial small subunit ribosomal RNA", at positions 527 to 896 of the family's 1533-position model. The record is from RNAcentral.